Molecule: ribosomal RNA, 483 nt
Filed under: uncultured bacterium
Lineage: Bacteria
Description: partial 16S ribosomal RNA
Rfam family: Bacterial small subunit ribosomal RNA
Source: RNAcentral
GACGAACGCUGGCGGCGUGCUUAACACAUGCAAGUCGAACGAUGAAGCCGGAGCUUGCUCCGGUGGAUUAGUGGCGAACGGGUGAGUAACACGUGAGCAAUCUGCCCUUGACUCUGGAAUAACUGCGGGAAGCUGUAGCUAAUACCGGAUACGACACCUUGGGGCAUCCCAGGGUGUGGAAAGAACUUCGGUCAAGGAUGAGCUCGCGGCCUAUCAGCUAGUUGGUGAGGUAAUGGCUCACCAAGGCGACGACGGGUAGCCGGCCUGAGAGGGUGACCGGCCACACUGGAACUGAGACACGGUCCAGACUCCUACGGGAGGCAGCAGAGGGGAAUAUUGCACAAUGGGCGAAAGCCUGAUGCAGCAACGCCGCGUGAGGGAUGAAGGCCUUCGGGUUGUAAACCUCUUUUAGCAGGGAAGAAGCGAAAGUGACGGUACCUGCAGAAAAAGCACCGGCUAACUACGUGCCAGCCGCCGCCGUAA